GGCAACGUGGCGGAGUGGUUAUCGCGACAGCCUCGAAUUCUUUCGUAAGCUGUUUCCUUCGGGAGCGCAGGUUCGAAUCCUGCCGUUGUCG
This 91-nucleotide transfer RNA is filed under the name Fusarium verticillioides 7600. RNAcentral describes it as "tRNA-Ser for anticodon CGA". It matches the Rfam family "tRNA". From Rfam's summary of the family: Transfer RNA (tRNA) molecules are approximately 80 nucleotides in length. RNAcentral also lists the same sequence under 1 other name. The record is from Rfam by way of RNAcentral. Lineage: Eukaryota; Fungi; Ascomycota; Sordariomycetes; Hypocreales; Nectriaceae.